Molecule: microRNA precursor, 292 nt
Filed under: Bodo saltans
Lineage: Eukaryota; Euglenozoa; Kinetoplastea; Eubodonida; Bodonidae
Source: RNAcentral
GAGAACGAAGACAAAAGUUACGAGGGAAAACAAGCAAAAAAAAAUCAGAAAAAAGGGGCACGGGACAAGAAAGUCGUUGAUAAAUACGCCCAGCGCGCAGUCACACACAACAAAAUGGUGAACUGCGGCAUAUUACGGCGCGAUCAAGAAGCCUCCGGCGUUGGACCCCAACGCAGGCAAGACAUCAUCAGAUUGUCUUCUUUCAUUUGUUUUGUUUUGUCUGUGGUUUCCUUCGUUUUGAAUAGCUUUUUUUUUUUGCUUGUUUUCACUCGUAACUUUUGUCUUCGUUCUC